This 609-nucleotide long non-coding RNA is filed under the name Trifolium pratense (red clover). Its description in RNAcentral is "long non-coding RNA (TPRA_LNC002029)". The record is from RNAcentral. Lineage: Eukaryota; Viridiplantae; Streptophyta; Magnoliopsida; Fabales; Fabaceae.
GAGCACUACAGGAAAUGCAUGGAGCAGAGGUUUAAGGAAUUGGUAUCAAGCAAAGGCUUAGAUGCUGUCCAAACUGAGGUCAAAGAUAUGGAUUGGGAAAGUACCUUCCAUGUUCGACAUCUUCCCGAAUCAAACAUUUCAGAGCUCCCUGAUCUCAGUGAUGAAUACAGGUUACACAAAACAAACAUUAUGAUAUCAAAACAUUGCAUAACAUUUAUAAUAUUUAGCACAAAAUCAUAAAUAAUUGACACAAAAUUUUCCUCAACAAUUUGAGUUGCAUAUAUGGAUAUGACUCUAAAUUUCUUAUGGUAAUUAUGAUGCAGGAAGGUGAUGAAGGAAUUUUCUUUGAGGUUAGAGAAACUAGCAGAAGAGCUUUUGGACUUGUUAUGUGAGAAUCUUGGACUUGAAAAAGGUUACCUCAAAAAAGCUUUCUAUGGAUCAAGAGGACCAACUUUUGGCACCAAGGUAGCCAAUUACCCUCAAUGCCCUAAUCCAGAGUUGGUGAAGGGUCUUCGAGCUCACACCGAUGCUGGUGGGAUCAUCCUUCUCUUCCAGGAUGACAAAGUCAGUGGCCUUCAGCUGCUGAAAGACGGCGAGUGGGUUGAUGNN